CCUUAGAGUUUGUUCCUGGCUCAGGACGAACGCUGGCGGCGUGCUUAACACAUGCAAGUCGAACGAUGAACCGCUUUCGGGCGGGGAUUAGUGGCGAACGGGUGAGUAACACGUGGGCAAUCUGCCCUGCACUCUGGGACAAGCCCUGGAAACGGGGUCUAAUACCGGAUAUGACUGUCCAUCGCAUGGUGGAUGGUGUAAAGCUCCGGCGGUGCAGGAUGAGCCCGCGGCCUAUCAGCUUGUUGGUGAGGUAGUGGCUCACCAAGGCGACGACGGGUAGCCGGCCUGAGAGGGCGACCGGCCACACUGGGACUGAGACACGGCCCAGACUCCUACGGGAGGCAGCAGUGGGGAAUAUUGCACAAUGGGCGAAAGCCUGAUGCAGCGACACCGCGUGAGGGAUGACGGCCUUCGGGUUGUAAACCUCUUCAGCAGGA
This 437-nucleotide ribosomal RNA is filed under the name Streptomyces sp. 2LA12. Its description in RNAcentral is "bacterial SSU rRNA". It matches the Rfam family "Bacterial small subunit ribosomal RNA", at positions 1 to 443 of the family's 1533-position model. Lineage: Bacteria; Bacillati; Actinomycetota; Actinomycetes; Kitasatosporales; Streptomycetaceae. The record is from RNAcentral.